AUCAGAUUGAAACACUAGUUCCCGUAUUAUCACCGAAGUUAAGCAACAACGAGCCUGGUCAAUACCUAGAUGGGUGACUGCUUCGGAAUGCUAGGUGCUAUA
This 102-nucleotide ribosomal RNA is filed under the name Acanthosepion pharaonis. The record is from RNAcentral. Lineage: Eukaryota; Metazoa; Mollusca; Cephalopoda; Sepiida; Sepiidae.